ACUCAAAUGAAUUGACGGGGGCCCGCACAAGCGGUGGAGCAUGUGGUUUAAUUCGAUGCAACGCGAAGAACCUUACCUGCCCUUGACAUACCAAGAAUCCUGUAGAGAUAUAGGAGUGCCGAAAGGAACUUGGAUACAGGUGCUGCAUGGCUGUCGUCAGCUCGUGUCGUGAGAUGUUGGGUUAAGUCCCGUAACGAGCGCAACCCUUAUUCUUAGUUACCAUCAUUUAGUUGGGGACUCUAAGAAGACUGCUGGUGAGAAGCCGGAGGAAGGCGGGGACGACGUCAAGUCAUCAUGGCCCUUACGGGCAGGGCUACACACGUGCUACAAUGGUCGGUACAGAAGGCGGCGAACCCGAGAGGGGAAGCGAAUCCUUUAAAGCCGGUCGUAGUCCGGAUCGGAGUCUGCAACUCGACUCCGUGAAGUCGGAAUCGCUAGUAAUCGCGAAUCAGCAUGUCGCGGUGAAUACGUUCCCGGGCCUUGCACACACCGCCCGU
Molecule: ribosomal RNA, 497 nt
Filed under: uncultured bacterium
Lineage: Bacteria
Description: partial 16S ribosomal RNA
Rfam family: Bacterial small subunit ribosomal RNA
Source: RNAcentral